CUCGAUGUCGGCUCAUCUCAUCCUGGGGCUGAAGCAGGUCCCAAGGGUAUGGCUGUUCGCCAUUUAAAGAGGUACGCGAGCUGGGUUUAGAACGUCGUGAGACAGUUCGGUCCCUAUCUACCGUGGGCGCUGGAAAUUUGAGAGGAUCUGCUCCUAGUACGAGAGGACCAGAGUGGACGAACCUCUGGUGUACCGGUUGUGACGCCAGUCGCAUCGCCGGGUAGCUAUGUUCGGAAGGGAUAACCGCUGAAAGCAUCUAAGCGGGAAGCCUACCUCAAGAUAAGAUUUCCCUAGGAAUUUAUUCCUCUAAAGAGCCGUUCGAGACUAGGACGUUGAUAGGUUGGAUGUGGAAGCAUAGUGAUAUGUGAAGCUGACCAAUACUAAUUGCUCGUGAGGCUUGACUAUACAACACCCAAGCAGUUG
This 423-nucleotide ribosomal RNA is filed under the name Acinetobacter nosocomialis. Its description in RNAcentral is "bacterial LSU rRNA". It matches the Rfam family "Bacterial large subunit ribosomal RNA", at positions 2525 to 2925 of the family's 2925-position model. The record is from RNAcentral. Lineage: Bacteria; Pseudomonadati; Pseudomonadota; Gammaproteobacteria; Moraxellales; Moraxellaceae.